UCUUGUUGGUUGUGCAGGAAGCUGUUAAAUGUUCAUUAGCAUUCAAAGUUUAUUGAUCUUUGAGAGUGUGGUCUUGUAUUAUGAUGCUGUAUUAGUUGAAAAGAGUCUCAAAACAACACUACUAUCGUUUAUCACAAAAACAAUUUAUCGUCAAGCAAAAUUUGUUAUUGUGACAGGUCUAUUUUCAACAGAGAUUGCAAAAAUAUUUUUGUCUUUUUCUGUCAAUUUAACAGUAUAUAGAAGUUAGUAAAACACUGAAAACAAAUCUAGAAGACAGUCGAUGCCAUUACACCAUGUCUUUGUCAUCCUGCUGCCUCUCUCUCUCUCUCUCUCUCUCACUCUCCAGUGAUGCAUCGUUGUCGCUGUCGGGUCAUGGAGGGGGGCGGGGCCGGGGCCUGGGGUCACCCUGGUCUGUCACCCGGUCUGUGGCCUCAGAGAAACUCAGUGUGUCCAAGACGAAGAAGAAGCCUCCCCUCCGGUGGUUUGGGUCGUGGUGGCUUGUCUGUCACUUAGCCUGGCUGACUCGCCCCUCUCUAUCUCCAUCUCUGUGCGACUGUCAGGAUGGCAGAUGACAGCGGGGGGCCAUCAGGGGACCACAAGCUCUCAGUGAACCUCCAUUCGCUGAUCUCCAUGGAGAAUAGCCCCCACCAGCUGUAUUUCAAGGCCGUCAAACUGCUGCUGUCACGACAAAGACCACGGCAACCAGGCGAGGCCUCUCCCAUAAAACAUCAAAAGCAUGCGCUGCAAUGAAAACAAGCGAGGGAAGCGCGGAGGGAGGGGGGGCUUGUCAAUCUGCACGGCCCCUCUUCUAAGUGACUGUAGCCCACCGCCACUACACUCAGCUUCCAUGCCAUUCAUUUUUCAUGCUGCGCUGUCGGUGAUCCAAACUGUGCCAUCCAUUCUGCAGCUGACAUGUCCAAAUGUCUGAGUUACCGCAUAGCGCUGCACAUAACAGAGCUGUCUGCGAAAAGUUUUAUGAUAUGGAAAUAUGGUGAGAGCCUCUGUGAUGAAUGGACAUAAUGGGGCCAGAAGUAACGCCGAGCUACUGUGGGCAUCUGGGGCAUUUUUAUCUUGAGACUAAUACCUGAGUGACAUGAGCUCAUUCUUCCUGACACGCAAAGGUUGCCUUAAAGAAGCAUUUAUGGUGCUUGGGUCUUUUCAGAUUUUGCGGUAAUAAAAUAGUGUGUUUUCACUCCUGAUAGUCUGGUAGUGUUGGUUCGAUUUGAGACCAAAGUUGCAACAUUUAUUACAUUUUCAGCUUCUGUAGUUCGCUUCCACACUGCACUCCCUCAAAUGACCCAAACACUUUGAAAAACCUGUUCCCCUCCUCACCUGUGGGGGCGCUGCACCAAGAACCACUGAAGAAAACGACACAGAAACCUCUGAAGAAGACACUGAGCACAACUUCCUUCUUCAGGAAAGAGAAGGUGGGAGGAAAUAAAGAUGGCACGGGUGAGAGAGGAGGGGAGAAGAUUGACAGGAUAGAGAGGUGAUGCCACCUGUACAGGGCAGGAAGAGAACGGAAAAAACUCAUUAGUCUGCCUCCAUCCCAAUUCGCUGCUCUGACCUUGAGACAUCCACGCCUCCCUCCAGGCUCAGCCCAGUCAGGACUCCCCGGAUCAACCCCCACCUUCAUCGCCAGCAUCUCCUAAUUCAGCUGCAGCCAUUUAUUGAAGGGUGGUCCUUUUCAGGAACACAUCAGCAGAAUAUUUUCACACUCUUCCUCCUCCUCCUCUUUCUCGUCUCUCUGCGGCAGACUGAGUUCACCCCCCACUCUGCGGGAAGAGCAAAGAGCUGUCCGCAGCGUUUUGUGUCAAGGCCUGGAGCGCGGUCCUCGAUGCGAAGAGGAGAGAACGGGAGAGGAAGAGAAACUCUGUGUGACACUGAGGCAUGGAGGAGGAGGAAGAGGAAGGCGAGGCCGCAUCAGGAGGUUGUCGAGCCACAUCCAAGUGUCAGGGUCCCGAAAUAGUGGCGAGCGACAAGCAGACUGAA
This is a long non-coding RNA of Xiphophorus hellerii (green swordtail), 1992 nucleotides long. RefSeq lists it as uncharacterized. The record is from RefSeq and is a predicted model, not a curated record. NCBI's taxonomy places the organism in Eukaryota, Metazoa, Chordata, Actinopteri, Cyprinodontiformes, Poeciliidae. The transcript has 3 exons.